GGUAGAAUGGCUGAGAUUUAGGCGAUAAACUGUAAAUUUAUAAAGGAAUAUUUAAUUCUUCUACCA
This 66-nucleotide transfer RNA is filed under the name Silpha tyrolensis. Its description in RNAcentral is "tRNA-Tyr". It matches the Rfam family "tRNA". From Rfam's summary of the family: Transfer RNA (tRNA) molecules are approximately 80 nucleotides in length. Their secondary structure includes four short double-helical elements and three loops (D, anti-codon, and T loops). Further hydrogen bonds mediate the characteristic L-shaped molecular structure. tRNAs have two regions of fundamental functional importance: the anti-codon, which is responsible for specific mRNA codon recognition, and the 3' end, to which the tRNAs corresponding amino acid is attached (by aminoacyl-tRNA synthetases). tRNAs cope with the degeneracy of the genetic code in two manners: having more than one tRNA (with a specific anti-codon) for a particular amino acid; and 'wobble' base-pairing, i.e. permitting non-standard base-pairing at the 3rd anti-codon position. The record is from RNAcentral. Lineage: Eukaryota; Metazoa; Arthropoda; Insecta; Coleoptera; Silphidae.